GACGUAGGGCGCGAGCGUUUUCCGGAUUUAUUGGGCGUAAAGAGCUCGUAGGCGGCUUGUUGCGUCAGCUGUGAAAACCCGCAGCUCAACUGUGGGCUUGCAGCUGAUACGGGCAGGCUUGAGUUCGGUAGGGGAGACUGGAAUUCCUGGUGUAGCGGUGAAAUGCGCAGAUAUCGGAAGGAACAUCAGUGGCGAAAGCGGCUUCCUGGUCCAGCACCGACGUUCAGGCACGAAAGCGUGGGGAGCAAACAGG
This 253-nucleotide ribosomal RNA is filed under the name uncultured bacterium. RNAcentral describes it as "partial 16S ribosomal RNA". It matches the Rfam family "Bacterial small subunit ribosomal RNA", at positions 524 to 776 of the family's 1533-position model. The record is from RNAcentral.